UUACAAGAGAAUCAUGAGCUUCACGGUC
This 28-nucleotide non-coding RNA is filed under the name Bombyx mori (domestic silkworm). Lineage: Eukaryota; Metazoa; Arthropoda; Insecta; Lepidoptera; Bombycidae. The record is from RNAcentral.